This 345-nucleotide unclassified non-coding RNA is filed under the name soil metagenome. Its description in RNAcentral is "partial contains 5.8S ribosomal RNA, internal transcribed spacer 2, and large subunit ribosomal RNA". The stretch from base 1 to 120 matches the Rfam family "5.8S ribosomal RNA", at positions 35 to 154 of the family's 154-position model. The record is from RNAcentral.
GAUGAAGAACGUAGCGAAAUGCGAUACGUAAUGUGAAUUGCAGAAUUCAGUGAAUCAUCGAGUCUUUGAACGCACAUUGCGCCCCCUGGUAUUCCGGGGGGCAUGCCUGUCCGAGCGUCAUUGCUGCCCUCAAGCACGGCUUGUGUGUUGGGCCUCCGUCCUCCUCCCGGGGGACGGGCCCGAAAGGCAGCGGCGGCACCGCGUCCGGUCCUCGAGCGUAUGGGGCUUCGUCACCCGCUCUUGUAGGCCCGGCCGGCGCUUGCCGACACAUCAAUCUUCUUUCCAGGUUGACCUCGGAUCAGGUAGGGAUACCCGCUGAACUUAAGCAUAUCAAUAAGCGGAGGA